This 1384-nucleotide ribosomal RNA is filed under the name metagenome. Its description in RNAcentral is "bacterial SSU rRNA". It matches the Rfam family "Bacterial small subunit ribosomal RNA". The record is from RNAcentral.
AGUGGCGGACGGGUGAGUAACACGUGAGGAACCUGCCUCUGAGAGUGGGAUAGCUUCUGGAAACGGAUGGUAAUACCGCAUAACAUGGCGAAACCGCAUGAUUUUGCUAUCAAAGUAUUUCGCUCAGAGAUGGCCUCGCGUCUAUUAGAUAGUUGGUGAGGUAACGGCUCACCAAGUCGACGAUCAGUAGCCGGACUGAGAGGUUGAACGGCCACAUUGGGACUGAGACACGGCCCAGACUCCUACGGGAGGCAGCAGUGGGGGAUAUUGCACAAUGGGGGAAACCCUGAUGCAGCGAUGCCGCGUGGAGGAAGAAGGUUUUCGGAUUGUAAACUCCUGUCGUAAGGGAAGAGAAAGGACUGUACCUUACAAGAAAGCUCCGGCUAACUACGUGCCAGCAGCCGCGGUAAUACGUAGGGAGCGAGCGUUGUCCGGAAUGACUGGGUGUAAAGGGAGCGUAGGCGGGAUGGCAAGUCAGAUGUGAAACCUGAGGGCUCAACCUUCAGACUGCAUUUGAAACUGCUGUUCUUGAGUGAAGUAGAGGUAAGCGGAAUUCCUGGUGUAGCGGUGAAAUGCGUAGAGAUCAGGAGGAACAUCGGUGGCGAAGGCGGCUUACUGGGCUUUUACUGACGCUGAGGCUCGAAAGCGUGGGGAGCAAACAGGAUUAGAUACCCUGGUAGUCCACGCUGUAAACGAUGAUUACUAGGUGUGGGGGGAUUGACCCCUUCCGUGCCGCAGUUAACACAAUAAGUAAUCCACCUGGGGAGUACGACCGCAAGGUUGAAACUCAAAGGAAUUGACGGGGGCCCGCACAAGCAGUGGAGUAUGUGGUUUAAUUCGAAGCAACGCGAAGAACCUUACCAAGUCUUGACAUCCUUCUGACCGGUACUUAACCGUAUCUUCUCUUCGGAGCAGGAGUGACAGGUGGUGCAUGGUUGUCGUCAGCUCGUGUCGUGAGAUGUUGGGUUAAGUCCCGCAACGAGCGCAACCCUUAUCUUUAGUAGCCAGCGGUUUGGCCGGGCACUCUAGAGAGACUGCCAGGGAUAACCUGGAGGAAGGCGGGGAUGACGUCAAAUCAUCAUGCCCCUUAUGACUUGGGCUACACACGUGCUACAAUGGCGUAAACAAAGGGAAGCAAAGCUGUGAAGCCGAGCAAAUCUCAAAAAUAACGUCUCAGUUCGGACUGUAGUCUGCAACCCGACUACACGAAGCUGGAAUCGCUAGUAAUCGCAGAUCAGAAUGCUGCGGUGAAUACGUUCCCGGGUCUUGUACACACCGCCCGUCACACCAUGGGAGUUGGGAAUGCCCGAAGCCAGUGACCUAACCGAAAGGAAGGAGCUGUCGAAGGCAGGCUCGAUAACUGGGGUGAAGUCGUAACAAGGUA